Molecule: ribosomal RNA, 419 nt
Filed under: uncultured Glomeromycotina
Lineage: Eukaryota; Fungi; Glomeromycota
Description: SSU rRNA
Rfam family: Eukaryotic small subunit ribosomal RNA
Source: RNAcentral
UAUGCACUGGCUUUACUGAUUCCUCCUUCUUGACGAACCGUGAUGUCAUUAAUUUGGUGUUGCGGGAAAUCAGGACUGUUACUUUGAAAAAAUUAGAGUGUUUAAAGCAGGCUAGCGCUUGAAUACAUUAGCAUGGAAUAAUGAAAUAGGACGUUAAUCCUAUUUUGUUGGUUUCUAGGAUCGACGUAAUGAUUAAUAGGGAUAGUUGGGGGCAUUAGUAUUCAAUUGUCAGAGGUGAAAUUCUUGGAUUUAUUGAAGACUAACUACUGCGAAAGCAUUUGCCAAGGAUGUUUUCAUUAAUCAAGAACGAAAGUUAGGGGAUCGAAGACGAUCAGAUACCGUCGUAGUCUUAACCAUAAACUAUGCCGACUAGGGAUCGGAUGAUGUUAAUUCUUUAAUGACUCAUUCGGCGCCUUACG